AAAGUCGUAACAAGGUUUCCGUAGGUGAACCUGCGGAAGGAUCAUUACUGUUAAUUGGGGGGGUUGAGCUGGCCUUUGUGCACUGUGCUUACCCCUUUCAUUUCUAUAUACACACACACUGUGCACUUUAAGAGUGAGAGUGGGACGCUACUCAUCACUUUGAGAGGGAGGAGUGGGACGCUACUUAUCCCUUUCAAAUUUAUUAAUGCCUGUCUUAUGCAUGUCUUAUGAUACCCUUAAGGGGGAACUUUAAUAACUUUCAACAACGGAUCUCUUGGCUUUU
RNAcentral lists this unclassified non-coding RNA (283 nucleotides) under Basidiomycota sp. RNAcentral's name for it is "partial contains small subunit ribosomal RNA, internal transcribed spacer 1, and 5.8S ribosomal RNA". The stretch from base 1 to 47 matches the Rfam family "Eukaryotic small subunit ribosomal RNA", at positions 1785 to 1831 of the family's 1831-position model. Lineage: Eukaryota; Fungi; Basidiomycota. The record is from RNAcentral.